Molecule: non-coding RNA, 70 nt
Organism: Paramuricea clavata
Lineage: Eukaryota; Metazoa; Cnidaria; Anthozoa; Malacalcyonacea; Plexauridae
Source: the annotation of a GenBank genome assembly
UGAUGUUACUCAGUUGGCAGAGCAUUGGGCUAGUAUUCCAAAGGUCGUAGGUUCGAUUCCCACGUGUCCG